Molecule: ribosomal RNA, 852 nt
Filed under: Beltraniella fertilis
Lineage: Eukaryota; Fungi; Ascomycota; Sordariomycetes; Amphisphaeriales; Beltraniaceae
Description: eukaryotic LSU rRNA
Rfam family: Eukaryotic large subunit ribosomal RNA
Source: RNAcentral
UAGUAACGGCGAGUGAAGCGGGAACAGCUCAAAUUUGAAAUCUGGCCUUCGGGUCCGAAUUGUAAUUUGCAGAGGAUGCUUUUGGUUAGGUACUUUCCGAGUUCCCUGGAACGGGACGCCUUAGAGGGUGAGAGCCCCGUACGGUUGGAUACCGAGCCUUUGUAAAGCUCCUUCGACGAGUCGAGUAGUUUGGGAAUGCUGCUCUAAAUGGGAGGUAAAUUUCUUCUAAAGCUAAAUACCGGCCAGAGACCGAUAGCGCACAAGUAGAGUGAUCGAAAGAUGAAAAGCACUUUGAAAAGAGGGUUAAAUAGCACGUGAAAUUGUUGAAAGGGAAGCGUUUAUGACCAGACUUUUUCCAGGCGGAUCAUCCGGUGUUCUCACCGGUGCACUUCGUCUGGUUGAGGCCAGCAUCGGUUUUCGUAGAGGGAUAAAAGCAGUAGGAAUGUGAUUCCCCCGGGAAUGUUAUAGCCUAUUGUAUAAUACCUUUAUGGGGACCGAGGUUCGCGCUCUGCAAGGAUGCUGGCGUAAUGGUCAUCAACGACCCGUCUUGAAACACGGACCAAGGAGUCGAACAUUUGUGCAAGUGUUUGGGUGUUAAACCCUCACGCGUAAUGAAAGUGAACGGAGGUGAGAGCCCUUACGGGUGCAUCAUCGACCGAUCCUGAUGUUUUCGGAUGGAUUUGAGUAAGAGCAUAACUGUUCGGACCCGAAAGAUGGUGAACUAUGCGUGGAUAGGGUGAAGCCAGAGGAAACUCUGGUGGAGGCUCGCAGCGGUUCUGACGUGCAAAUCGAUCGUCAAAUCUGCGCAUGGGGGGCGAAAGACUAAUCGAACCAUCUAGUAGCUGGUUACCG